Molecule: non-coding RNA, 85 nt
Organism: Cicer arietinum (chickpea)
Lineage: Eukaryota; Viridiplantae; Streptophyta; Magnoliopsida; Fabales; Fabaceae
Source: Rfam
AGGAGCCGUAUGCGGUGAAAAUCUCAUGUACGGUUCUGUAGAGUGGCAGUAAGGAUGACUUAUCUGUCAACUUUUCCAUUAUUAC